RNAcentral lists this ribosomal RNA (166 nucleotides) under uncultured bacterium. Its description in RNAcentral is "partial 16S ribosomal RNA". It matches the Rfam family "Bacterial small subunit ribosomal RNA", at positions 349 to 507 of the family's 1533-position model. The record is from RNAcentral.
CAGCAGUAGGGAAUAUUGCCCAAUGGGCGAAACCCUGACGCAGCAACGCCGCGUGAGUGAAGAAGGCCUUCGGGUUGUAAAGCUCUGUCAAGCGGGAAAAACGUCCUGCAGUUAACAGCUGCGGGAUCUGAUGGUACCGCUAGAGGAAGCACCGGCUAACUCCGUG